GACGAACGCUGGCGGCGUGCCUAAUACAUGCAAGUAGAACGCACAGUUUAUACCGUAGCUUGCUACACCAUAGACUGUGAGUUGCGAACGGGUGAGUAACGCGUAGGUAACCUGCCUGGUAGCGGGGGAUAACUAUUGGAAACGAUAGCUAAUACCGCAUAAUAUUAAUUAUUGCAUGAUAAUUGAUUGAAAGAUGCAACUGCAUCACUACCAGAUGGACCUGCGUUGUAUUAGCUAGUAGGUGAGGUAACGGCUCACCUAGGCGACGAUACAUAGCCGACCUGAGAGGGUGAUCGGCCACACUGGGACUGAGACACGGCCCAGACUCCUACGGGAGGCAGCAGUAGGGAAUCUUCGGCAAUGGACGAAAGUCUGACCGAGCAACGCCGCGUGAGUGAAGAAGGUUUUCGGAUCGUAAAGCUCUGUUGUAAGAGAAGAACGGGUGUGAGAGUGGAAAGUUCACACUGUGACGGUAUCUGACCAGAAAGGGGCGGCUAACUACGUG
This 505-nucleotide ribosomal RNA is filed under the name uncultured bacterium. RNAcentral describes it as "partial 16S ribosomal RNA". It matches the Rfam family "Bacterial small subunit ribosomal RNA", at positions 28 to 507 of the family's 1533-position model. The record is from RNAcentral.